CGAGUGCUUCGAGCGUUAUCCGGAAUCAUUGGGCGUAAAGGGUGCGUAGGUGGUUGUGUUAGUCUCGCGUUAAAUCUACCGGCUCAACCGGUAGGCUGCGUGGGAAACGGCACGACUAAGAGGACGGCAGAGGUUUCUGGAACUCAUGGUGUAGCGGUGAAAUGCGUUGAUAUCAUGGGGGAACACCGAAAGCGAAGGCAAGAAACUGGGCCGCUCCUGACACUGAAGCACGAAAGCGUGGUCGCGAAUGGGAUU
Molecule: ribosomal RNA, 255 nt
Filed under: uncultured bacterium
Lineage: Bacteria
Description: partial 16S ribosomal RNA
Rfam family: Bacterial small subunit ribosomal RNA
Source: RNAcentral